GACGAACGCUGGCGGCGUGCUUAACACAUGCAAGUCGAACGGAAAGGCCCUGCUUUUGUGGGGUGCCCGAGUGGCGAACGGGUGAGUAACACGUGAGUAACCUGCCCUUGAUUUUGGGAUAACUUCAGGAAACUGGGGCUAAUACCGGACAGGAGCUCCUGUUGCAUGGUGGGGGUGGGAAAGUUUCGGCGGUUGGGGAUGGACUCGCGGCUUAUCAGCUUGUUGGUGGGGUAGUGGCUUACCCACGCUUUGACGGGUCGCCGGCCUGUGAGGGUGGCCGGCCACAAUGGGCCUGAGGGACGGCCCAGACUCCAACGGGGGACAGCAGGCGGGAGUAUUGCACAGUGAGCGGGAGCCUGAUGCAGAAGCGCCCCGUUCGGGAUGACGGCCUUCGGGUUGUAAACCGCUUUCGCCUGUGACGAAGCGUGAGUGACGGUAAUGGGUAAAGAAGCACCGGCUAACUACGUG
RNAcentral lists this ribosomal RNA (468 nucleotides) under uncultured bacterium. RNAcentral describes it as "partial 16S ribosomal RNA". It matches the Rfam family "Bacterial small subunit ribosomal RNA", at positions 28 to 507 of the family's 1533-position model. The record is from RNAcentral.